This 23-nucleotide non-coding RNA is filed under the name Rattus norvegicus (Norway rat). The record is from RNAcentral. Lineage: Eukaryota; Metazoa; Chordata; Mammalia; Rodentia; Muridae.
GGAUAUGUUGUUGCCCUUACACU